AAGAGCAAACUGUUCGUUGAAUUCUGGUGAUGAACCCGUGAGAAGUCCUACAAUCGCUAAACCUGACAGAGCGAUACUCCAUAGUAGUGGUCUAUUCUCGCUGAGAGACUCCAUGAACGGGUGACCCUUUUGAACACAACAAGAAAUGAAGUACACCAAACUACAGAAGUGAACAGCAAACUGCAGCAGCACAGUCAACACCGUAUAAAGAUUGAAGAUGUUUGGAGAACCAAUCAGAAAACAUGUAGAGCCUUCUCGCUUACAAAAAUUCUCACCUUUGAUCUGGAGAUGAAGAGAAAGCAUCCGGCCAAGAGAAGGCCUUGUAGGGUCGCCUGGAAAUCACUGAACUUGACCCCUUCGAGGUAAAGCACAGACUGGCUGUAGGCCAGCACCAGGGCGUUGAGAGCGAGGAUCUUGAACAUUUGGAGUGUUGUCACCAAAGUGCAACGGCCUUGCUUUAUUACAUGGCAGACUGGGGGAAAGGACAAAGCUAGUUUCAGAGGUGGGGAGCAGCUUUAUGUUCUUAUCUCUGACAACUAGUGUUACUCACUGCACUGUAUGGAGGAGAGUUUGGAGGUGAAGGGGGCAGCGAUGGAGGCAUCACCCAGUUUCACUACUUGUAACUGAUCCUCUUCAAGUUCCCGUAAGACUUGACUGAUCCUCUCCUGUUACAGAUUAAACCCUGAUGUUUAGACUGGUGCACUAUAACACUAUCAUUUCAAAGAAAGGCCUUGUGAACAUAAAUGAGUUUUAGUUGCUGUACAAAGCAAAAAAAAUGAAUUACAUUUUUAAACCAUUCCCAUAAGUAUCAGUAAGAAGGCUCUUCCAAGACACACACCUUUUGUGCUGCAAGCUGCUCUUCUCUCUGGGCCAUCACCCUCUGCCUGGCUGCCCUGGAGCUCAGUUUGCCUCCUGAACUGACAGGUGGUAUAGGUCUGGAUUCUGCUGCGGUGGCCUCCUUUUCUCUACCCCGUUUCUUUCUUUCAGGCAUGCGUUCAGGUGCGUUGGCUAACAGAGCAACACCUGAGGAAAAACUAUCAUCACUACACACUGUUGGGGUCACACAUAGAGAGACAUGUUUCCAAGUCUGGGUGGUUAAUAAAUCUUACCUAUGUGGGCGUGUUUGAGAGCUCCAACAUCAUUUGUGCCAUCCCCACACAUUAGUGUCACAUAACCCAGCCCCUUUAGACUUGUGAUGACAAAUUCCUGAAAUAGAACAAACAAUCAUCUUUAUAGCUGAUGACUUCCCAGAGUUUGUAAUUGAGUGGUGUCCCUUAGUUAAAAUGCUUGUCUAAACUGUAUCAACUGUGCUUUGUCUGUGAUGAAGGAAAAAACUGACAUUGACUAUUGAUAUUGAUGUUUGAGAUAGAUAACAAAAAAAAAUGUUAAGCUAACUCCAUGGCUGUAGGAAGAAAACACACCAUCACACACUAAAUGGGACCCAGAAACGCAGUGUCUGUUACUAAUUGUUGAUUUAGAGUGAGCAUUUCAUUAAAAACUACAAAAUACAUAA
Long non-coding RNA from Dicentrarchus labrax (European seabass), 1513 nucleotides. RefSeq lists it as uncharacterized. The transcript has 3 exons. The record is from RefSeq and is a predicted model, not a curated record. Lineage: Eukaryota; Metazoa; Chordata; Actinopteri; Moronidae.